Molecule: ribosomal RNA, 450 nt
Filed under: uncultured bacterium
Lineage: Bacteria
Description: partial 16S ribosomal RNA
Rfam family: Bacterial small subunit ribosomal RNA
Source: RNAcentral
GUGGGGAAUCUUCCGCAAUGGACGAAAGUCUGACGGAGCAACGCCGCGUGAGUGAUGAAGGUCUUCGGAUUGUAAAGCUCUGUUAAUCGGGACGAAAGAGCCUAGUGUGAAUAAUGCUAGGAAGUGACGGUACCGGAAUAGAAAGCCACGGCUAACUACGUGCCAGCAGCCGCGGUAAUACGUAGGUGGCAAGCGUUGUCCGGAAUUAUUGGGCGUAAAGUGCGCGCAGGCGGAUCUGCCAGUCUGUCUUAAAAGUUCGGGGCUUAACCUCGUGAUGGGAUGGAAACUACAGAUCUAGAGUAUCGGAGAGGAAAGUGGAAUUCCUAGUGUAGCGGUGAAAUGCGUAGAUAUUAGGAAGAACACCAGUGGCGAAGGCGACUUUCUGGACGAAAACUGACGCUGAGGCGCGAAAGCCAGGGGAGCGAACGGGAUUAGAAACCCGAGUAGUCC